RNAcentral lists this ribosomal RNA (2297 nucleotides) under hydrothermal vent metagenome. RNAcentral describes it as "LSU rRNA". It matches the Rfam family "Bacterial large subunit ribosomal RNA", at positions 764 to 2925 of the family's 2925-position model. The record is from RNAcentral.
CCGUGGAGGCGCGAACCGACCUAGGUUGAAAACUGGGCGGAUGACCUGUGGAUAGGGGUGAAAGGCCAAUCAAACUCGGUGAUAGCUGGUUCUCCGCGAAAUGCAUUUAGGUGCAGCGUCGCAUGUUCAGCCAUGGAGGUAGAGCACUGGAUGGGUUAGGGGGCCUACAAGCUUACCGACCCCAGCCAAACUCCGAAUGCCAUGGCUCCAGAGUGCGGCAGUGAGUCCUCGGGGGAUGAGCUUCGAUGGACGAAAGGGAAACAGCCCAGACCGCCGACUAAGGCCCCAAAGUUCUGACUAAGUGGUAAACGAAGUGGGAUUGCCCAGACAGCCAGGAUGUUGGCUUAGAAGCAGCCACCAUUGAAAGAGUGCGUAACAGCUCACUGGUCGAGUGAUCCCGCGCGGAAAAUGUAACGGGGCUCAAGUCAGACGCCGAAGUCGCGGACUUCUGCUUUGCAGGAGUGGUAGCGGAGCGUCGAGCCUGGAGCGAAGCGGCGGUGUAAACCGACGUGGACCGGGCUCGAGUGAGAAUGUAGGCAUGAGUAGCGAGAGAGGGGUGAGAAACCCCUCCGCCGGAAGUCCAAGGGUUCCUGGGGAAGGAUAAUCCUCCCAGGGUGAGUCGGGAGCUAAGGCGAGGCCGAGAGGCGUAGUCGAUGCACAACCGGUUGAUAUUCCGGUACCACGGGUUGCGCGACAAACGCCGACCUGCAGUUGCUAAGGGGAUGGUCGGCCCUUCGGGGCCGACAGGAACCGACCCACUGCGGCGAGGCGAGUGAUGCGGGGACGCAGGAAGGUAGAUGAUCCCAGGCGAUGGUUGUCCUGGGGCAAGCGUGUAGGCCGAGGCGUAGGUAAGUCCGCUCCUCAUAAAGGCUGAGACGUGACGCCGAGCCGUUCAAGGCGAAGUCAUUGAUCCUCUGCUGCCAAGAAAAGCCGCUAGCGAGUGCAACCGGUGCCCGUACCCCAAACCAACUCAGGUGGACAGGUAGAGAAUACCAAGGCGAUUGGGAGAACUAUGGUUAAGGAACUCGGCAAAUUGCAUCCGUAACUUCGGGAGAAGGAUGACCGCAUUAGGGUAAAAGAACUUAGCGUUCUUAGCUCGAAGCGGUGACACAAACCAGGGGAAAGCGACUGUUUACUAAAAACACAGCAGCGUGCAAAGUCCUAAGACGACGUAUACGCUGUGACGCCUGCCCGGUGCCGGAAGGUUACGGGGAAGGGUCAGCCUUCGGGCGAAGCUCUGAACCUAAGCCCCGGUAAACGGCGGCCGUAACUAUAACGGUCCUAAGGUAGCGAAAUUCCUUGUCGGGUAAGUUCCGACCUGCACGAAUGGCGUAACGACUUUCCUACUGUCUCAACCAUAGACCCAGCGAAAUUGAAGUACGAGUAAAGAUGCUCGUUAGCUGCAGAAGGACGGAAAGACCCCGUGGACCUUUACUACAGCUUGGUAUUGGUAUUUGUUAUGCGUUGUGUAGGAUAGGUGGGAGACUUUGAAGCGUUGGCGCUAGCCAAUGUGGAGUCAACCUUGAAAUACCACCCUGCGUUUGACGGAUAUCUAACCUGGGCCCGUUAUCCGGGUCGGGAACAGUGCCAGGUGGGUAGUUUGACUGGGGCGGUCGCCUCCUAAAAAGUAACGGAGGCGCCCAAAGGUUCCCUCAGUCUGGUUGGCAAUCAGACGUCGAGUGCAAUGGCACAAGGGAGCUUGACUGCGAGACUUACAAGUCGAGCAGGUGCGAAAGCAGGGCAUAGUGAUCCGGCGGUUGCGUGUGGAAGCGCCGUCGCUCAACGGAUAAAAGGUACCCCGGGGAUAACAGGCUUAUCUUCCCCAAGAGUCCAUAUCGACGGGAAGGUUUGGCACCUCGAUGUCGGCUCAUCGCAUCCUGGGGCUGAAGCAGGUCCCAAGGGUUGGGCUGUUCGCCCAUUAAAGCGGUACGCGAGCUGGGUUUAGAACGUCGUGAGACAGUUCGGUCCCUAUCCUCUGCAGCCGGAGGAGAUUUGAGAAAGGCUGUCCCUAGUACGAGAGGACCGGGAUGGACGUAGCUCUAGUGUGCCAGUUGUUCCGCCAGGAGCAUGGCUGGUUGGCCACCUACGGAAGGGAUAACCGCUGAAAGCAUCUAAGUGGGAAGCCCGUUUCAAGAUGAGAUCUCCCACCGGGUUAACCGGGUAAGGCCCGUGGCAGACCACCACGUUGAUAGGCCGGAGGUGUACGUGCGGUAACGCAUUCAGCCGACCGGUACUAAUCGGCCGAGGGCUUGGUUACACAUCGACAGUUGUUGUCGACGUUCGUGUUCGCUGUGGAG